This 321-nucleotide ribosomal RNA is filed under the name uncultured bacterium. RNAcentral describes it as "bacterial SSU rRNA". It matches the Rfam family "Bacterial small subunit ribosomal RNA", at positions 28 to 334 of the family's 1533-position model. The record is from RNAcentral.
GACGAACGCUGGCGGCGUGCUUAACACAUGCAAGUCGAACGGACGGACUCGAUAGCUUGCUAUUGGGAAAGUUAGUGGCAAACGGGUGAGUAACGCGUAGGCAACCUGCCCUUCAGAUGGGGACAACACUUCGAAAGAGGUGCUAAUACCGAAUGACGUAUCCAUUCCGCAUGGAGAGGAUACCAAAGGCCGGGCAACCGGUCACUGAAGGAUGGGCCUGCGUCUGAUUAGCUAGUUGGUGGGGUAACGGCUCACCAAGGCGACGAUCAGUAGCCGGUCUGAGAGGACGAUCAGCCACACUGGGACUGAGACACGGCCCAG